This 253-nucleotide unclassified non-coding RNA is filed under the name uncultured Saprospiraceae bacterium. RNAcentral's name for it is "contains 16S-23S intergenic spacer region". It matches the Rfam family "Bacterial small subunit ribosomal RNA", at positions 524 to 776 of the family's 1533-position model. Lineage: Bacteria; Pseudomonadati; Bacteroidota; Saprospiria; Saprospirales; Saprospiraceae. The record is from RNAcentral.
UACGGAGGGUGCAAGCGUUAUCCGGAAUUACUGGGUUUAAAGGGUGCGUAGGCUGUAUAUUUAGUCAGGCGUGAAAGAAUCUUGCUUAACGAGAGAAUUGCGUUUGAAACUGAUAUACUUGAAUUAGGAUGAGGUUAGCAGAAUGUGACAUGUAGCGGUGAAAUGCAUAGAUAUGUCAUAGAAUACCGAUUGCGAAGGCAGCUAACUGGCCCUAUAUUGACGCUGAGGCACGAAAGCGUGGGGAGCGAACAGG